RNAcentral lists this unclassified non-coding RNA (253 nucleotides) under uncultured Pirellulaceae bacterium. RNAcentral's name for it is "contains 16S-23S intergenic spacer region". It matches the Rfam family "Bacterial small subunit ribosomal RNA", at positions 524 to 776 of the family's 1533-position model. The record is from RNAcentral. Lineage: Bacteria; Pseudomonadati; Planctomycetota; Planctomycetia; Pirellulales; Pirellulaceae.
UACGAACCGUACGAACGUUAUUCGGAAUCACUGGGCUUAAAGGGUGCGUAGGCGGCGCGGAAAGUUGGGUGUGAAAGCCCCCGGCUCAACCGGGGAACAGCGCCCAAAACUGCCGUGCUCGAGGGAGAUAGAGGUGAGCGGAACUUAGGGUGGAGCGGUGAAAUGCGUUGAUAUCCUAAGGAACACCCGUGGCGAAAGCGGCUCACUGGGUCUCUUCUGACGCUGAGGCACGAAAGCUAGGGUAGCGAACGGG